UCCGUUGGUGAACCAGCGGAGGGAUCAUUACCGAAGUUACUCUUCACAACCCUUCUGUGAACCCUACCGACCUUUGCCGCGCGUUGCCUCGGCGGGGAGGUCCGGGGUCGGGGGGUGGCUCCCCGCGGGCCCCCCCCCUAACUCGGGCCCCCGCCGGCCGUGCCGAACUCUUCUAUUUGCGAAAGCGAACUGCAUGUCUGAUUGCGUCUUGAAAACAAGUCAAAACUUUCAACAACGGAUCUCUUGGUUCUGGCAUCGAUGAAGAACGCAGCGAAAUGCGAUAAGUAAUGUGAAUUGCAGAAUUCAGUGAAUCAUCGAAUCUUUGAACGCACAUUGCGCCCGGCAGCAAUCUGCCGGGCAUGCCUGUCCGAGCGUCAUUUCUGCCCUCGAGCGCGGUUCGGUCCCACCGUGGGCCGCGCCGCCGCCCGGUGUUGGGGCGCUGCGGGCCACCGUUGCCCGCAGGCCCUGAAAUGAAGUGGCGGUCCCGCCGCGGCGCCCCCUGCGUAGUAAGUUAGCUCACCUCGCAUCGGGUCCCGGCGAAGGCCAGCCGUCGAACCUCAACUCCUGAUGGUUUGACCUCGGAUCA
This 586-nucleotide unclassified non-coding RNA is filed under the name Microascus stellatus. RNAcentral's name for it is "Thermomyces stellatus sequence contains 18S rRNA gene, ITS1, 5.8S rRNA gene, ITS2, 28S rRNA gene". The stretch from base 224 to 377 matches the Rfam family "5.8S ribosomal RNA". Lineage: Eukaryota; Fungi; Ascomycota; Sordariomycetes; Microascales; Microascaceae. The record is from RNAcentral.